This 433-nucleotide ribosomal RNA is filed under the name uncultured bacterium. Its description in RNAcentral is "partial 16S ribosomal RNA". It matches the Rfam family "Bacterial small subunit ribosomal RNA", at positions 29 to 507 of the family's 1533-position model. The record is from RNAcentral.
AACGAACGCUGGCGGCAUGCCUAACACAUGCAAGUCGAACGAGACCUUCGGGUCUAGUGGCGCACGGGUGCGUAACGCGAGGGAACCUGCCCUUAGGUUCGGCAUAACUCCCCGAAAGGGGUGCUAAUACCGGAUAAUGUCUUCGGACCAAAGAUUUAUCGCCUUUGGAUGGGCCCGCGUUGGAUUAGCUAGUUGUUAGGGUAAAAGCCUACCAAGGCGACGAUCCAUAGCUGGUCUGAGAGGAUGAUCAGCCACACCGGGACUGAGACACGGCCCAGACUCCUACGGGAGGCAGCAGUGGGGAAUAGUGGACAAUGGGCGAAAGCCUGAUCCAGCAAUGCCGCGUGAGUGAUGAAGGCCUUAGGGUUGUAAAGCUCUUUUACCCGGGAUGAUAAUGACAGUACCGGGAGAAUAAGCCCCGGCUAACUCCGUU